This 541-nucleotide ribosomal RNA is filed under the name uncultured bacterium. RNAcentral describes it as "bacterial SSU rRNA". It matches the Rfam family "Bacterial small subunit ribosomal RNA", at positions 772 to 1314 of the family's 1533-position model. The record is from RNAcentral.
ACUAAAUAGAUACCCGGGUAGUCCACGCCCUAAACGAUGUCUACUAGUUGUCGGGUCUUAAUUGACUUGGUAAACGCAGCUAAACGCGUGAAAGUAGACCGCCUGGGGAGUACGGUCGCAAGAUUAAAACUCAAAGGAAUUGACGGGGACCCGCACAAGCGGUGGAUGAUGUGGAUUAAUUCGAUGCAACGCGAAAAACCUUACCUACCCUUGACAUGGAUGGAAUCCUUGAGAGAUUGAGGAGUGCCCGAAAGGGAACCAUUACACAGGUGCUGCAUGGCUGUCGUCAGCUCGUGUCGUGAGAUGUUGGGUUAAGUCCCGCAACGAGCGCAACCCUUGUCAUUAGUUGCUACGAAAGGGCACUCUAAUGAGACUGCCGGUGACAAACCGGAGGAAGGUGGGGAUGACGUCAAGUCCUCAUGGCCCUUAUGGGUAGGGCUUCACACGUCAUACAAUGGUACAUACAGAGGGCCGCCAACCCGGCGAGGGGGUAGCUAAUCCCAGAAAGUGUAUCGUAGUCCGGAUUGUAGUCUGCAACUCG